GGGCGUUAGCUCAGUUGGUAGAGCAGCGGACUCUUAAUCCGUAGGUCGAGUGUUCGAGUCACUCACGCCCCACCAA
RNAcentral lists this transfer RNA (76 nucleotides) under Burkholderia gladioli BSR3. RNAcentral describes it as "tRNA-Lys". It matches the Rfam family "tRNA". From Rfam's summary of the family: Transfer RNA (tRNA) molecules are approximately 80 nucleotides in length. Their secondary structure includes four short double-helical elements and three loops (D, anti-codon, and T loops). Lineage: Bacteria; Pseudomonadati; Pseudomonadota; Betaproteobacteria; Burkholderiales; Burkholderiaceae. The record is from RNAcentral.